ACGCUGGCGGCAGGCCUAACACAUGCAAGUCGAGCGGUAGAGAGAAGCUUGCUUCUCUUGAGAGCGGCGGACGGGUGAGUAAUGCCUAGGAAUCUGCCUGGUAGUGGGGGAUAACGUCCGGAAACGGACGCUAAUACCGCAUACGUCCUACGGGAGAAAGCAGGGGACCUUCGGGCCUUGCGCUAUCAGAUGAGCCUAGGUCGGAUUAGCUAGUUGGUGGGGUAAUGGCUCACCAAGGCGACGAUCCGUAACUGGUCUGAGAGGAUGAUCAGUCACACUGGAACUGAGACACGGUCCAGACUCCUACGGGAGGCAGCAGUGGGGAAUAUUGGACAAUGGGCGAAAGCCUGAUCCAGCCAUGCCGCGUGUGUGAAGAAGGUCUUCGGAUUGUAAAGCACUUUAAGUUGGGAGGAAGGGCAGUAAAUUAAUACUUUGCUGUUUUGACGUUACCGACAGAAUAAGCACCGGCUAACUCUGUGCCAGCAGCCGCGGUAAUACAGAGGGUGCAAGCGUUAAUCGGAAUUACUGGGCGUAAAGCGCGCGUAGGUGGUUCGUUAAGUUGGAUGUGAAAUCCCCGGGCUCAACCUGGGAACUGCAUUCAAAACUGACGAGCUAGAGUAUGGUAGAGGGUGGUGGAAUUUCCUGUGUAGCGGUGAAAUGCGUAGAUAUAGGAAGGAACACCAGUGGCGAAGGCGACCACCUGGACUGAUACUGACACUGAGGUGCGAAAGCGUGGGGAGCAAACAGGAUUAGAUACCCU
Molecule: ribosomal RNA, 760 nt
Filed under: uncultured bacterium
Lineage: Bacteria
Description: bacterial SSU rRNA
Rfam family: Bacterial small subunit ribosomal RNA
Source: RNAcentral